This 460-nucleotide ribosomal RNA is filed under the name uncultured bacterium. Its description in RNAcentral is "partial 16S ribosomal RNA". It matches the Rfam family "Bacterial small subunit ribosomal RNA", at positions 338 to 795 of the family's 1533-position model. The record is from RNAcentral.
CCUACGGGAGGCAGCAGUGAGGAAUAUUGGUCAAUGGACGAGAGUCUGAACCAGCCAAGUAGCGUGAAGGAUGACUGCCCUAUGGGUUGUAAACUUCUUUUAUAUGGGAAUAAAAUGUUCCACGUGUGGGAUUUUGUAUGUAUCCUAUGAAUAAGGAUCGGCUAACUUCGUGCCAGCAGCCGCGGUAAUAUGGAGGAUCCGAGCGUUUUCCGGAUUUAUUGGGUUUAAAGGGAGCGUAUGGGGAUUGUUAAGUCAGUUGUGAAAGUUUGCGGCUCAACCGUAAAAUUGCAGUUGAAACUGGCAGUCUUGAGUACAGUAGAGGUGGGCGGAAUUCGAGGUGUAGCGGUGAAAUGCUUAGAUAUCACGAAGAACUCCGAUUGCGAAGGCAGUUCACUGGACUGCAACUGACACUGAGGCUCGAAAGUGUGGGUAUCAAACAGGAUUAGAUACCCGGGUAGUC